ACAAAUCAGCCACCGGGUUGAGAUGCAAAAGCAUCACGGCAUAUCGUUAGGUCUUUGAAGAUAUGCAGUGAUGCUUUUUUUGAAA
This 85-nucleotide non-coding RNA is filed under the name unclassified sequences. The record is from RNAcentral.